CACAGUGGUGGCUUGGCGGUUAAAGCUCAGGGUUAGUGAUCGGAAGGUCCAGGGUUCAAGCCCCUGCUCUGCCA
Molecule: non-coding RNA, 74 nt
Organism: Ameiurus melas (black bullhead)
Lineage: Eukaryota; Metazoa; Chordata; Actinopteri; Siluriformes; Ictaluridae
Source: the annotation of a GenBank genome assembly